UUAUCGUAUAACUUCUUAUAACUCGGCCGACCAUCCUUAACUCAACCAUACCGUUGCCUGAGUUAUACUAUAACUCAGUCAACAUUUUACAACUCAGCCGUAACGUCUGGCUGAGUUAUACUCAUACUUCGCCGUUUUGUUAUGACUCAUAUAUUUUUGACGUAAGUCAGCGGCAACAUACCGUAACUCAGCCGUAACUGCCGCUGUAUCGCGUUACGGCUGAGUUCAUUUAAUCCACGUCAGCAAAUUCUGACGUGGCAGUGGCAUUCCCUGUAAUUACGUUUUUUCCGGUAACGUUUAGUAGGGGCACGUUGGGUAAUAAAAAAAAGUCAAAAAUAUAACAGUUAUUAAAAAAAGUUCUGUCGUGUUCUGGUAAUAACACCUAAUUUCUUACCCAUCACAGUUAAUCUCCCAAUAAAAAUUCAUAAAAUCACAUACCCGAGUUAACGG
Molecule: small RNA, 450 nt
Filed under: Arabidopsis thaliana (thale cress)
Lineage: Eukaryota; Viridiplantae; Streptophyta; Magnoliopsida; Brassicales; Brassicaceae
Description: ATSL206540
Source: RNAcentral